GAACGCCUCUAAGUCAGAAUCCAUGCUGGAAAGCAAUGUGUCGAUCAAUAAUACGUGAAAAGAGUUAGACGCUUCUGUGUCUAGAUUCAGCAAGGCAGUUUAAGCUUAGGGCUAGAAGGGUCCUGACUUUUCUGCGAAUAGUAAUUUCGAAUAUUAUUGGCGCAAAUCGUUUGUAGACGACUUAAUUGGGAUCGGGUACUGUAAGCGUGAGAGUA
Molecule: ribosomal RNA, 215 nt
Filed under: uncultured Symbiodinium
Lineage: Eukaryota; Dinophyceae; Suessiales; Symbiodiniaceae
Description: partial Eukaryotic large subunit ribosomal RNA
Rfam family: Eukaryotic large subunit ribosomal RNA
Source: RNAcentral